This 403-nucleotide ribosomal RNA is filed under the name bacterium. RNAcentral describes it as "partial 16S ribosomal RNA". It matches the Rfam family "Bacterial small subunit ribosomal RNA", at positions 355 to 776 of the family's 1533-position model. The record is from RNAcentral.
UGGGGAAUAUUGCACAAUGGAGGGAACUCUGAUGCAGCGACGCCGCGUGAACGAAGAAGGCUUUCGAGUCGUAAAGUUCUUUUAUAUGGGAAGAUAAUGACGGUACCAUAAGAAGAAGCCCCGGCUAACUACGUGCCAGCAGCCGCGGUAAUACGUAGGGGGCUAGCGUUGUCCGGAAUCACUGGGCGUAAAGGGUUCGUAGGCGGAAAUGCAAGUCAGGUGUAAAAGGCAGUAGCUUAACUACUGUAAGCAUUUGAAACUGCAUAUCUUGAGAAGAGUAGAGGUAAGUGGAAUUUUUAGUGUAGCGGUGAAAUGCGUAGAUAUUAAAAAGAAUACCGGUGGCGAAGGCGACUUACUGGGCUCAUUCUGACGCUGAGGAACGAAAGCGUGGGUAGCAAACAGG